RNAcentral lists this ribosomal RNA (497 nucleotides) under uncultured bacterium. Its description in RNAcentral is "partial 16S ribosomal RNA". It matches the Rfam family "Bacterial small subunit ribosomal RNA", at positions 28 to 507 of the family's 1533-position model. The record is from RNAcentral.
GAUGAACGCUGGCGGCGUGCCUAAUACAUGCAAGUCGAGCGAACGGACGAGAAGCUUGCUUCUCUGAUGUUAGCGGCGGACGGGUGAGUAACACGUGGAUAACCUACCUAUAAGACUGGGAUAACUUCGGGAAACCGUAGCUAAUACCGGAUAAUAUUUUGAACCGCAUGGUUCAAAAGUGAAAGACGGUCUUGCUGUCACUUAUAGAUGGAUCCGCGCUGCAUUAGCUAGUUGGUAAGGUAACGGCUUACCAAGGCAACGAUGCAUAGCCGAGCUGAGAGGGUGAUCGGCCACACUGGAACUGAGACACGGUCCAGACUCCUACGGGAGGCAGCAGUAGGGAAUCUGCCGCAAUGGGCGAAAGCCUGACGGAGCAACGCCGCGUGAGUGAUGAAGGUCUUCGGAUCGUAAAACUCUGUUAUUAGGGAAGAACAGAUGUGUAAUUAACUGUGCACAUCUUGACGGUACCUAAUCAGAAAGCCACGGCUAACUACGUG